AAGCUUGCUUGUUGGGGUUGUAGGACACUCUAUACGGAGUUACAAAGGACGACAUUAGACGAAUCAUCUGGAAAGAUGAAUCAAAGAAGGUAAUAAUCCUGUAGUCGAAAAUGUUGUCUCUCUUGAGUGGAUCCUGAGUACGACGGAGCACGUGAAAUUCCGUCGGAAUCUGGGAGGACCAUCUCCUAAGGCUAAAUACUCUCUAGUGACCGAUAGUGAACCAGUACCGUGAGGGAAAGGUGAAAAGCACCCCGGAAGGGGAGUGAAAUAGAACCUGAAACCGUGUGCUUACAAGUAGUCAGAGCCCGUUAAUGGGUGAUGGCGUGCCUUUUGUAGAAUGAACCGGCGAGUUACGAUUUGAUGCAAGGUUAAGCAGUAAAUGUGGAGCCGUAGCGAAAGCGAGUCUGAAUAGGGCGUUUAGUAUUUGGUCGUAGACCCGAAACCAGGUGAUCUACCCUUGGUCAGGUUGAAGUUCAGGUAACACUGAAUGGAGGACCGAACCGACUUACGUUGAAAAGUGAGCGGAUGAACUGAGGGUAGCGGAGAAAUUCCAAUCGAACCUGGAGAUAGCUGGUUCUCUCCGAAAUAGCUUUAGGGCUAGCCUCAAGUGAUGAUUAUUGGAGGUAGAGCACUGUUUGGACGAGGGGCCCCUCUCGGGUUACCGAAUUCAGACAAACUCCGAAUGCCAAUUAAUUUAACUUGGGAGUCAGAACAUGGGUGAUAAGGUCCGUGUUCGAAAGGGAAACAGCCCAGACCACCAGCUAAGGUCCCAAAAUAUAUGUUAAGUGGAAAAGGAUGUGGCGUUGCCCAGACAACUAGGAUGUUGGCUUAGAAGCAGCCAUCAUUUAAAGAGUGCGUAAUAGCUCACUAGUCGAGUGACACUGCGCCGAAAAUGUACCGGGGCUAAACAUAUUACCGAAGCUGUGGAUUGUCCUUUGGACAAUGGUAGGAGAGCGUUCUAAGGGCGUUGAAGCAUGAUCGUAAGGACAUGUGGAGCGCUUAGAAGUGAGAAUGCCGGUGUGAGUAGCGAAAGACGGGUGAGAAUCCCGUCCACCGAUUGACUAAGGUUUCCAGAGGAAGGCUCGUCCGCUCUGGGUUAGUCGGGUCCUAAGCUGAGGCCGACAGGCGUAGGCGAUGGAUAACAGGUUGAUAUUCCUGUACCACCUAUAAUCGUUUUAAUCGAUGGGGGGACGCAGUAGGAUAGGCGAAGCGUGCGAUUGGAUUGCACGUCUAAGCAGUAAGGCUGAGUAUUAGGCAAAUCCGGUACUCGUUAAGGCUGAGCUGUGAUGGGGAGAAGACAUUGU
Molecule: ribosomal RNA, 1304 nt
Filed under: Staphylococcus aureus
Lineage: Bacteria; Bacillati; Bacillota; Bacilli; Caryophanales; Staphylococcaceae
Description: bacterial LSU rRNA
Rfam family: Bacterial large subunit ribosomal RNA
Source: RNAcentral